This 524-nucleotide ribosomal RNA is filed under the name Perenniporiopsis minutissima. Its description in RNAcentral is "SSU rRNA". It matches the Rfam family "Bacterial small subunit ribosomal RNA", at positions 406 to 948 of the family's 1533-position model. The record is from RNAcentral. Lineage: Eukaryota; Fungi; Basidiomycota; Agaricomycetes; Polyporales; Polyporaceae.
UGACUAGCUACUGAAUCAUAGAAUUUUUUCAAAUUCAUGAUGUCGUAAGGGAAAAUAAUGAUAAUACCUUACUAUGAGUGUCGUCCAAAUCUGGUGCCAGAAGACUCGGUAAGACCAGAGACGCGAACGUUAAUCAUCAUAAACAGGCGUAAAGGGUUUGUAGGCAGCUUUCAUAAGAAUAUGAAUCCAAAAUAAAGUAGUCUAAUUGAAAGCUAGAAUCAAAAAGAGGUUAUAGUGUAUAACGCCUAGAGGAGGGCUGAUAUCCAUAGAUCCUAGGCAGAAUACUAAGGGCGAAGGCCACUCUCCACUAAUGAUUGACGCUGAGAAACGAAGGUUAGGGUAGGAAAUAGGAUUAGAUACCCCGGUACUCCUUUCUGUAAACGAUGAAUGGUAGUCAUUAGUUUUUUAAAUUAACUAGAGACGAAGUUAACACAAUAACCAUUCCGCCUUGUGAGUACUACUGCAAAGUAGAAAACAAAAAAAUUAGUCGGUCUCGAAGCAAACGGAGUGAAGCAUGUUAUUUA